Molecule: ribosomal RNA, 500 nt
Filed under: bacterium enrichment culture clone NKeF2N1
Lineage: Bacteria
Description: bacterial SSU rRNA
Rfam family: Bacterial small subunit ribosomal RNA
Source: RNAcentral
GACGACGCUGGCGGCGUGCCUAACACAUGCAAGUCGAACGGUAACAGGACUUCGGUCGCUGACGAGUGGCGCACGGGUGAGUAACGCGUGGAUAUCUGCCUAUCAGUGGGGGACAACUACGGGAAACCGUAGCUAAUACCGCAUACGCUGUACGCAGGAAAGCGGGGGAUCUUCGGACCUCGCGCUGAUAGAUGAGUCCGCGUCUGAUUAGCUUGUUGGUGGGGUAAUGGCCUACCAAGGCGAUGAUCAGUAACUGGUUUGAGAGGAUGAUCAGUCACACUGGAACUGAGUCACGGUCCAGCCUCCUACGGGAGGCAGCAGUGGGGAAUAUUGCACAAUGGGCGAAAGCCUGAUGCAGCGACGCCGCGUGCGGGAAGAAGGCCUUCGGGUUGUAAACCGCUUUCAAUUGGGAAGAAGGGAUGAGGGUUAAUACCCCUCUGACUUGACGGUACCUUUAGAAGAAGCACCGGCUAAUUUCGUGCCAGCAGCCGCGGUAAUAC